Mizuhopecten yessoensis (Yesso scallop) is the source of this 4130-nucleotide long non-coding RNA. RefSeq lists it as uncharacterized. The transcript is spliced from 2 exons. NCBI's taxonomy places the organism in Eukaryota, Metazoa, Mollusca, Bivalvia, Pectinida, Pectinidae. The record is from RefSeq and is a predicted model, not a curated record.
GUGUUAUGCUUAAACAAUGGCUUAAGGUAACACCCCCUGUCUGUCACUGUGUAACCCUUAAACAAUGGCUUAAGUAAACACACCCUGUCAGUCACUGUGUAACGUUUAAACAAUGGCUUAAGGUAACACACCCUGUCAGUCACUGUGUUAUGCUUAAACAAUGGCUUAAGGUAACACACCCUGUCUGUCACUGUGUAACGCUUAAACAAUGGCUUAAGUAAACACACCCUGUCAGUCACUGUGUUAUGCUUAAAUAAUGGCUUAAGGUAACACACCCUGUCUGUCACUGCGUAACGUUUAAACAAUGGCUUAAGGUAACACACCCUGUCUGUCACUGCGUAACGUUUAAACAAUGGCUUAAGGUAACACACCCUGUCAGUCACUGUGUAACGUUUAAACAAUGGCUUAAGGUAACACACCCUCUCAGUCACUGUGUUAUGCUUAAACAAUGGCUUAAGGUAACACACCCUGUCAGUCACUGUGCAACGUUUAAACAAUGGCUUAAGGUAACACACCCUCUCAGUCACUGUGUUAUGUUUAAACAAUGGCUUAAGGUAAAACACCCUGUCAGUCACUGUGUAACGUUUAAACAAUGGUUAAGGUAACACGCCCUGUCAGUCACUGUGUAACGCUUAAACAAUGGCUUAAGGUAACACACCCUGUCUGUCACUGUUUAACGUUUAAACAAUGGCUUAAGGUAACACACCCUCUCAGUCACUGUGUUAUGCUUAAACAAUGGCUUGAGGUAACACACCCUGUCAGUCACUGUGUAACGCUUAAACAAUGGCUUAAGGUAACACACCCUAGAGUGAUCUGGUGUCACAGUGGAUAGCACAUUGUUCUUUCACCAAGGCUUAUUAGCUUAUAUGACAGUAUAAUACAUUGUUAUACGGAAUUUUUGUUUGAGUUCCUGUUUGAGAAUGAAGCUAAAGCUGAAAUGUCAUCGAGAAGUACAAAGUAAUGUAAUUGUAAGUUUUUAAGACAUGAACAUAUUUCUAUUCCAAAUAUUUUUAUACGUUUUUUGUACACACAUACAAACAGAAGUAAUUGACCUAUUUGUUAUAUUUAUUGAUUCAUCAUCUAUUGAAUUUUUAUCACGAGAUAUGGUUAUUUUGCAUAAAUGUAACUACAUGUAAUCUAUUUUUUAUAUUUUUGUGUUUAAAUACAUGUUUCAUGGGGUGCUGGACUUCAUAUUUGGGACCAACAGCACAUCCGAUGAUCUAUAUCAUGUUGCAUACGGUAUGUAACGAUCAUGAGUUUAGAAUGACAUACAAUAUUUACAACUUUGUUGUAAACAUUUUGUUUUUAUUGUCAAAGUAUCGGAUUGAUGUAAGCUUACAUAUUCUAGUGGUAGUCUUAUUUUAGAACAUUUUGUGCUAUGAAUAUCACUCUAAAUCACGAAUGCGCCAAUUGAAGUUGUCCUUGAUAGGCCAUUUAAUAUAUGUGUUAGUCUGUUACAGUUCGAAAAUGCGCUGAAAUAAGUAUGUUUAAAGUAGUAUCUGUGACACUGAGUUUCUUACCUUAGCCAUAAUACCAAGAAAUUUGAUUUAAAAGAAAUAAUUCCAUUAUUUUAUCUUUCGAUAUGAAAAAUUCACUCAUUCAUUCAUUAUAUAAAAUGCUAUUACGUAUAUCUCCAAAUUCUUGAGUAUUUGUUGAAAAAGCAAAAUGAAAACACUCAUUACAGUCGGACUUUAAUUGUGGUGAAUUUAAUAAAGAUUGAACUAAACAUGCACAAUGGAAUCAAUGGAUCAGAGACAGGGUCCAUUCUAUAAUUAAAGGUUUGAAUUGGAGUUCUAAUCAAAACCAUUCUUUGUACAUAUAUCAUGUUCCUUUAUAAAAUGAUGUAUUAUGAUACAUGUCGAUAACAUUUAGUUUUUUAAUGGUCUUCAUUACAAAAUAUGUGACAGAUCUUGAACACCAUUUUAAAGGUUUAUUUUAGAACUUUUCUUUUAGAUAAGGAAUUUAAAUAAUUCUAAGUGGUUAAAUUGACAUCCAAGGAUGUGGGUUUUGCAGAAAAUAUCAUAACCAUGACCAAUACAAUUAUAAUGUCCCAGUAUGUUAGGUAUCUUUGUCAAUAUAAGAUAUUUUGUAUUUGCUUGUAAUGUUUACAAAUACUAAAAUAUGUUUUCCCCCUUUCCCCACCAAUAAAGGAUGUUUACGCUACAUGACCGAAGGUAGCCCUUUGUACCACUAUUGCUUUCGUCCAUUGUACGACUGUCAAACCAUGUAUAAAGAUGUUCAGAUAUUUGCUCACUCUUUUGCUAUUCCUCAAUGAAUUUUCAACAGAAAUUUACGUAACAGGCCUCAUUUUACUCUUCUCACCGAAUUAUUUGAUUACUAUGUAACACAAAUUUAAAUGGAUUCUAUAGAUUUUUAUUUCUUUUUAAGUGCAUAAUUAAUCUGAUGUCAGUUUUUCUCCUUCAUAAACAUAAUUUCUAGAUUUGCAUAUAUAGGUAUAGUAGAUACAUGAUUUUUUUAAAUACAUUUGAAAGAUUUUCGUGGAAUUCCACUUAUACUAACUAGUCUUUAAGUAUUCAAUUAAAAUUUGACCAUAUUUAAUUGUGUUAACAAUAGAAUUGACCGCAGGCUAAGUCUGGUAUAAGUUCUAUCCUGAUCGGUUGACACAACGAAGACAGUGAUGAAAUGAUCUGGUCAACAGGGAAUGUCUAGACGAUUAAGUAGUGUAGGGGGGGACAACUCGGGUACUCUAGAGAAUAUUCUAAUGAUUGAUCUUCAAAACUUGCUAUCUCAUGCCCAUUCAGGCUAUUCAGAAAGAAUGAGUGAUCUUUUUAUGGCAUUCAGAAAUACUCAUUUGUGUAGUAAAAAUCAGCAGUUAAUGACAUCCACAAAUUAGUGACAUUGUACUAGUCAAAAAUUAUAACUUCAUAAUAAUUGUACUACAAAAAGUAACAAUAUCAAUAUGCUGAAACUAGUCUAAUACAGGGCAAGAUACUGAAACUAUCUAAUACAGGGCAAGAUACUGAAACUAGAAACUAUCUAAUACAGGGCAAGAUACUGAAACUAUCUAAUACAGGGCAAGAAUACCAAUAGUGGGAUUACAAUGACUGCAAGGAGAUAUAGAUGGGUUUUUUUAAAAAUAAUUACUGUUUUUUUGUUCUUUAAACUGUUGAUAUUUUAUUGCGCAUAAAAUAACAUCCUUAUUCUGGUUAUUACCGAGUUUAGAUGAACAUUAUGUCAUUGUUCUAUUGGUUCAUCUUUGAUCCCCCUUGAUUUCCAGAAUAAAAGUAACUAACGACUUCCCUAUACCACGCCACCCAGUCCACAAGACACGGAUAGCCGUCAGUUCUUGUUUGAUUUGUUACGUACCAUAUACCAAGUCAACCUAACACUGAUUACAGAUUACAACUUCCAAAUCAUAGUGUCUGUACAUAUUGCCAGCGUCAUUUAUGUUUUUAUUUCAGCUUUGCUUUGAAAUAUUUACUGUCCGUAGUAAAAUAUACUAUUUAGAGACGACAAUGGAAUAUUGAAUGAUCAAUUUCUAAUGAGUGAUUAAAGGCCCUUUUGGCCUCUUGUUUGGAUUAGAAUUGUGAAGCUAUCAUGAUUGUAUGAAAUGUAUGGUUCCAUAUAUAUUACCUGUGACAGGCUUGUGGUGUAUUAAUUUAAAGUUUCUUGUUCAACAGAAUAUACAGACAAGGUUCAUGGCAGAACCAAUCAAGGAUUUUUCAAACAGGAAGAUGCACAUUUUCUCAAUGAUACCUGAAACAAAAUGGAGUUGAGGUUUGGGUGUUAAUAAAACAAUGAUUGCUAGGCCUACGAUCGCCCACACCAGUAAUGACCGCAUUAUUAGGACUGAAGGACAAUUUAGUCCCCGUUACAGGGCGGCUGGUCUACCGAGUUUGUCACAGGUAGUACAAAGGGAUGUAUGCCAACAGUUACUAUUUUUCUAUAGUUUAUAAACAUGUUGAUAAUGCAAAAAAUCUGGUAUUUUUUAUAAAACAUAUAAAAGUUACUUGUUUCGCAAGAAAGCCAUUCCAAAUGUAUUGCAUAUUGUAAUAUUGAGUGUCUAUUAUUAAUACACAUGAAUGCAAUUACAUCUGUUAAAAGUGAGGUUUUAUGUUAAUUAAAAAUAUAUGUUGAUUAAUCAAAAAUAAAUAACAAUGAUGAUGAAA